AGCGAACGCUGGCGGCAGGCCUAACACAUGCAAGUCGAACGAACCUACCGUGGUUAGUGGCUGACGGGUGAGUAACACGUGGGAACGUUCCGGUAGGCACGGAAUUACUCAGUGACACUUGGGCUAAUACCGAAUGUGCCAUUCUAGGACAAGAUUCAUCGCCCUUAGGACGGCGGGCGUCCGAUUAGCUAGUUGGGUUAGGUAAUGGCUCACCAAGGCGACAAUCAGUAGCUGGUCUGUGAGGAUGAUCAGACACAUUGGGAGUGAGACACAGUCCAAAAUCCUACGGGAGGCAGCAGUGGGGAAUCUUGCGAAAUGGGCGAAAGCCUGACGCAGCCAUGCCGGGUGAAUGAUGAAGGUCUUAGGAUAGUAAAAUUCUUUCACCGGGGACGAUAAUGACGGUACCCGGAGAAGAAGCCCCGGCUAACUUCGUG
RNAcentral lists this ribosomal RNA (434 nucleotides) under uncultured bacterium. RNAcentral describes it as "partial 16S ribosomal RNA". It matches the Rfam family "Bacterial small subunit ribosomal RNA", at positions 29 to 507 of the family's 1533-position model. The record is from RNAcentral.